Long non-coding RNA from Lagopus muta (rock ptarmigan), 552 nucleotides. RefSeq lists it as uncharacterized. The transcript has 3 exons. NCBI's taxonomy places the organism in Eukaryota, Metazoa, Chordata, Aves, Galliformes, Phasianidae. The record is from RefSeq and is a predicted model, not a curated record.
CCUGACUUCUGGUUGUGCUGCUGAGACUUGUUCUUUCAGUAGGUGAAACACAUUCAUAUUGCAGUGUAAUCGUGGGCAUUGUGGAUGGCACAGUGGUGGAAAUGGGAACACACACAGAGCUGAUGGGGGAAAAAGGAGUCAGAUUAUUCACUUCCAACCUCACAGGAAGGAAAGGCUACUAAGAAGUUGUAUUAGUACAGAGGAACACAGAAAUUCCUAAGGAGGAAACAGCCUUCAAUACCAACUUAGGGAGAAAAAAAAUGAUGCAGAAGGAACAGAGCUACUACAUCAUAUGCUGUUCUUUGCUACAACUUUUCACUUUUUGCUGUGAUCAUUAUUUCUCAUAUUUAAGUAUUUCUUAUGUUGAAAAGCUGUCCAUUUUGUCUGAAUAGGGCUUAAUUACUGUCCUGUAGGUUUUUGGUUUUUUUCUUUUUUAAUUUGAAACCAGCAGUUAUUUUUAUAGUUUUCUGACCUGCAAAUACUUCUGCUCUGAUAUGUGAGAGAGAGACAGUUUUCUUUGAGUGACCCAUGCAAAGUAAGCGUUAAUUUAUG